RNAcentral lists this non-coding RNA (188 nucleotides) under Gammaproteobacteria bacterium. RNAcentral's name for it is "6S RNA". It matches the Rfam family "6S / SsrS RNA". From Rfam's summary of the family: E. coli 6S RNA was the first non coding RNA to be sequenced, but its function was unknown until recently. Lineage: Bacteria; Pseudomonadati; Pseudomonadota; Gammaproteobacteria. The record is from RNAcentral.
GCUUAUCUUGGAUACCGGUGUCUGCGAUCUUGUAUCUUGAGCCGAUAACUUUAAUAGCAGGGUGUUAUGUUCAUGGUCCUUGUUGUGCAAGUCUGCCUUGCGUAGAAAGCCUGAUAGGACCCCAUGCUCACCCACUUGGACCUGUGGGUUCAAGGCAUACAUCGCAUAAACGGUAUUUUUGAUGGCGC